Humulus lupulus (European hop) is the source of this 106-nucleotide small nucleolar RNA. NCBI's taxonomy places the organism in Eukaryota, Viridiplantae, Streptophyta, Magnoliopsida, Rosales, Cannabaceae. The record is from RefSeq and is a predicted model, not a curated record.
AUGUUGUGAUGAGGACACUUUCUCAAUAGUAUUUAAACCUUUCCCAAAUGUCAUAUAAUGAUUCCCCAUCAGUUUGGAAGAAGCUAUUGAUCUCUCCUCUCAAUCU